GAUGAAGAACGUAGCGAAAUGCGAUAAGUAGUGUGAAUUGCAGAAUUCAGUGAAUCAUCGAAUCUUUGAACGCACAUUGCGCCCCUUGGUAUUCCAUGGGGCAUGCUUGUUCGAGCGUCAUUUCAACCCUCAAGCUCUGCUUGGUCUUGGGCCGCGCCGGCGACGGCGGGCCUCAAAAACAGUGGCGGCGCCAUCUGGUUCCUCAGCGUAGUAAUUCUUCUCGCUGUUGGGCCCGGGUGGCCGCUGGCCAGCAACCCCAAAUUUUCUAUGGUUGACCUCGGAUCAGGUAGGGAUACCCGCUGAACUUAAGCAUAUCAAUAAGCGGAGGA
RNAcentral lists this unclassified non-coding RNA (329 nucleotides) under soil metagenome. RNAcentral describes it as "partial contains 5.8S ribosomal RNA, internal transcribed spacer 2, and large subunit ribosomal RNA". The stretch from base 1 to 120 matches the Rfam family "5.8S ribosomal RNA", at positions 35 to 154 of the family's 154-position model. The record is from RNAcentral.